This 399-nucleotide long non-coding RNA is filed under the name Fukomys damarensis (Damara mole-rat). RNAcentral's name for it is "lncRNA (ENSFDAG00000032962.1)". Lineage: Eukaryota; Metazoa; Chordata; Mammalia; Rodentia; Bathyergidae. The record is from RNAcentral.
AUUGGGUCUUGAGCGAGGUCACCCGUUGGCACAACUCUAGUGUGACCACACAGAGAUCUCUGGUAUGUUGCCGCUGUCUGGAGGACCCCAUGGCCCUGCAGUUUGGGAAGGAGGGGCUUGUUCUCACUGGUAGAGGUCAUCCCAGAUGGCUGUGUGCUGUCACUGCGGAUGCUCUAAAGAAGUUACAGGGCACCCCAGGUUCUGGGGACACCAAGGAUACAUGAAGAGUCUUCCAAAUUAGGCUAAACUUCUCAUAAAUAGCUGUAGGGAAGGUUUUGAAAGAGAAAUAAGGAUGCCUGUCUAGUCUCUGAGCUAAGGCCAUACAAAAACAUCCAGCCACCCCCACCCACUGUUCCCCAUCAGCCCCAUCUAUCUGUGCAGAGCAAGGCUGCAGAAGAC